AGAGCCGGGAGCCCCCAGCCUGGGGGCAGUGGAGAGAGCGACACCUGACAGACACCUGAAAGACAGGACAGGAGGAGAGAGGAAGGAGAAAGUUUCUAAAGGCUGGGCAAAGAAAGAGCCUGGAAGCAGAGAUUGGAAAUCUGUGUGACUCAGGGGUGACUGUGACCACGAAGCUGUGCAGCUGUGGGAUCGCAUGUGGCACUCGUUGGAGUGUGUGGGACUGGGUCGGGUAGGGCGAGGGCCCUCUGCUUCCGGUCCCCAGCUCCCCCUCCAGCCUCGGUUCCGCCCUGGCCCCGCCCCCUCCCACCACCCCAGGCUGCCAGCGCCUGUCACCUCUUCCAGAGCACAGGCGAGGACCCGGAGGCAGCGGCAGAGGGAGCGAGUGACCAGGAGAAGGACUGGGAACAGGUCCCCCGGGGUCUGUAGGUCUAGACUCUGAGUGACACUGACGCUUCUGCCCAGCGCAGUUCUAGGGCAACAGCCCCCUCGGCAAACACCCUCCCUUCCACCGCCGCUGCC
Heterocephalus glaber (naked mole-rat) is the source of this 519-nucleotide long non-coding RNA. The record is from Ensembl. NCBI's taxonomy places the organism in Eukaryota, Metazoa, Chordata, Mammalia, Rodentia, Bathyergidae.